Acanthaster planci (crown-of-thorns starfish) is the source of this 621-nucleotide long non-coding RNA. The record is from RefSeq and is a predicted model, not a curated record. Lineage: Eukaryota; Metazoa; Echinodermata; Asteroidea; Valvatida; Acanthasteridae.
GAACCACAGUCUACUAUGAUGAUUGGGCUGAAACAUUGGAGAUGAAGAAAUGAAAGCUUGGAAACAAGCAUCUACUCAGAAGGGGUGACCAUCCAUGUAUAGGCCGGGGGACAAGAUUGCAUGUUCAUUAAGGUGAGGUAACCAUUUUUUGCAGCUGUGAACAUGCACAAGACCCCCAGAUCACAGGAUUCAUCUGAUUUAGCUGAGGGAAUUGUUGAUGAAACUCAUACCACUGGAGAGGCAUCAUCCCAGAUAGAGGCCAGGGAAUUCACGACUUGCAUAUUCAUAAGGAACCACACUAUACUAUGAUGAGUGAGCUGAAACAGUGGAGAUGAAAAAUAUGAAAGUUUGGCACAAGCAUCUGCUCAGAAGGGGUGACCAUCCAUGUAGAGGCCGGGGGACAAGAUUGCAUGUUCAUUAAGGUGAGGUAACCAUUUUUUGCAGCUGUGAACAUGCACAAGACCCCCAGAUCGCAGGAUUCAUCAGAUUUAACCGAGGGGAUCAUUGAUGAAGCUUGUACCACAGGAGAGGCAUCAUCCCAAGUAGAGGCCAGGGAAUUCACGACUUGCAUAUUCAUAAGGAACCACACUCUACUGUGACGAGUGAGCUGAAACAUUGGAG